CAAGAAUUUUAGAAGAUACCAGAAGAUUUUAGAAGAUACCAGCUUUCCUUUUAUGUGAUAUUUAGAACACAUAAUUUUCCUAUACUUCAUAACACUAACUCCUGGCGUUGGAUAGUUUUGAGGUUCAUUGGCAUUAGUUAUUCCAUGGGUUAUAUUUUUGUUAGGAAAGCACUUGACCUGAAAAACAAAGAACUGCUCCAGGCGACAGAAAAGUGUCCACUGAUUGCACAAAGGAGUAAUCAUAGAAUCAUAGAAUAGUUAGGGCUGGAAAGGACCUUAGGAUCAUCUAGUUACAACCCCCCUGACAUGGGCAGGGACACCAUGCACUAAAACAUGUCACACAAGGUUCCGUCCAGCCUGGCCUUGAACACUACCAGGGAUGGAGCAUUCACAUCUUCCCUGGGCAAUCAGCAACUUUUCUCAUAUAAAUAGGAUCUCAUACUUGAUAUCCAUCCCAAACGUAUCAAUUCUUCCAAAAGGAUUUGUGCUUAGCACUGUGUGUUUUGAUCCCGCACCAAAUUAUCUAGGGCUGAGCUAUGCCAAUCCUAAUGGGGCCACUGAGAUAGCAUCAAAACACUGCUGAACUUACACUGACAGGACUUGAGCGAGCGCUAAAGCUCUCCUAGACGCCAUGGUGCUAAUCAUAUAUAUGUGCAUCUCUGGGUGAGAUGUAUUCAGUGCCCUAUCAGCCACAACUCUAUUACAGACAACUUGGUGUUUGUGACUUGGGUGGAAAUAAGCAGUGCUACAGGGGGAGAAGAUCUACCACACUCAUUGGCCUUAUGCUCACAUUUAGCAAUCAAUUUUCCCUCUGCAAAAAUGAAAUAACACACCAUGAAACAACACAAUAUCCAGGGUAUUUCGCACUGCACAGCAUCUUAAACAGAGGAAGUUUCAUUCAGUCCUUGGUCUAGGACUAGAAGCUAGAUACAAAUUCCAGUCAUGCUGAAACACAGAGAGAUCCUUAAACCUCAGAAUUAAAAAAAGGGUUCAAGGAAGUGCUGUCAGAUAUUUUCUGUUCUGCAUGCUAUGUAGCUCAGCAGCUCGCCACAAUUAACACAAGAGAAACGGCAAUAGCAAGUUACUCUUCUGGUGUUCUUUGUUCAGCAAAUGGUUUGCAAACUUAUUUUGUCCAUCAACAUAACUCUGUCCCUUCUCUUUCCAAGUAGGAAUUUGUCCUGCUAUCCUAAACUUUACUCAGGAAAUCUGUUCUAAGACUUCUGCACUUAAAAUAAAAAUUCCAUCACAUGUUCUUGAUUUUAGAA
Long non-coding RNA from Neopsephotus bourkii (Bourke's parrot), 1265 nucleotides. RefSeq lists it as uncharacterized. Lineage: Eukaryota; Metazoa; Chordata; Aves; Psittaciformes; Psittacidae. The record is from RefSeq and is a predicted model, not a curated record. The transcript has 2 exons.